CUUGACCGAACCCAACCACAACGGGCGAUCGGCAGACCGACCCUGCCCAUAAGUGGCCAACAGCGCUUGGGCCUC
Non-coding RNA from Mycobacterium sp., 75 nucleotides. It matches the Rfam family "ASpks TB sRNA". The record is from Rfam. Lineage: Bacteria; Bacillati; Actinomycetota; Actinomycetes; Mycobacteriales; Mycobacteriaceae.